CCAGGGCAUGCCUUAGUAGCGGCGAGUGAGCGGCAAAAGCUCAAAUUUGAAAUCUGGCACUUUCAGUGUCCGAGUUGUAAUUUGAAGAAGGUAUCUUUGGGUCUGGCUCUUGUCUAUGUUUCUUGGAACAGAACGUCACAGAGGGUGAGAAUCCCGUGCGAUGAGAUGACCCAGACCUAUGUAAAGUUCCUUCGAAGAGUCGAGUUGUUUGGGAAUGCAGCUCUAAGUGGGUGGUAAAUUCCAUCUAAAGCUAAAUAUUGGCGAGAGACCGAUAGCGAACAAGUACAGUGAUGGAAAGAUGAAAAGAACUUUGAAAAGAGAGUGAAAAAGUACGUGAAAUUGUUGAAAGGGAAGGGCUUGAGAUCAGACUUGGUAUUUUGUAUGUUACUCUUUCGGGGGUGGCCUCUACAGUUUACCGGGCCAGCAUCAGUUUGGGCGGUAGGAGAAUUGCAAAGAAAUGUGGCACUGCUUCGGUAGUGUGUUAUAGUCUUUGUCGAUACUGCCAGCCUAGACUGAGGACUGCGGCUUCGGCCUAGGAUGUUGGCAUAAUGAUCUUAAGUCGCCCGUCUUGACCC
RNAcentral lists this ribosomal RNA (575 nucleotides) under Lodderomyces metapsilosis. Its description in RNAcentral is "eukaryotic LSU rRNA". It matches the Rfam family "Eukaryotic large subunit ribosomal RNA", at positions 68 to 660 of the family's 3401-position model. Lineage: Eukaryota; Fungi; Ascomycota; Pichiomycetes; Serinales; Debaryomycetaceae. The record is from RNAcentral.